GGCAAGAGCUCAGAUUUGAAAUCGUGUUUCGGCACGAGUUGUAGAGUGUAGGCGGGAGUCUCUGUGGAGCGCGGUGUCCAAGUCCCUUGGAACAGGGUGCCUGAGAGGGUGAGAGCCCCGUAGGGUGCUGCGCGAAGCUUUUGAGGCCCUGCUGACGAGUCGAGUUGUUUGGGAAUGCAGCUCCAAGCGGGUGGUAAAUUCCAUCUAAGGCUAAAUAUUGGCGAGAGACCGAUAGCGAACAAGUACUGUGAAGGAAAGAUGAAAAGCACUUUGAAAAGAGAGUGAAACAGCACGUGAAAUUGUUGAAAGGGAAGGGUAUUGGGCUCGACAUGGGGGGUGCGCACCGCUGUCUCUUGUAGGCGGCGCUCUGGGCGCCCUCUGGGCCAGCAUCGGUUCCUGCUGCGGGAGAAGGGGCUCCGGAAAGUGGCUCUUCGGAGUGUUAUAGCCGGGGCCAGAUGCCGCGUGUGGGGACCGAGGACUGCGGCUUCUGUCUCGGAUGCUGGCAUAACGGCGCAAUACCGCCCG
This 525-nucleotide ribosomal RNA is filed under the name uncultured Pichia. Its description in RNAcentral is "eukaryotic LSU rRNA". It matches the Rfam family "Eukaryotic large subunit ribosomal RNA", at positions 100 to 651 of the family's 3401-position model. Lineage: Eukaryota; Fungi; Ascomycota; Saccharomycetes; Saccharomycetales; Saccharomycetaceae. The record is from RNAcentral.